This is a non-coding RNA of Ictidomys tridecemlineatus (thirteen-lined ground squirrel), 605 nucleotides long. Lineage: Eukaryota; Metazoa; Chordata; Mammalia; Rodentia; Sciuridae. The record is from RefSeq and is a predicted model, not a curated record.
GCUGCGUGACGGACAGGCAGCAGGACGCUGGCGCCGCGGCUUCUUCCGGCGGGUCAGAGGACGCUAGGGCAGCUGUGCGAACGCCUGUGCUCCGUCAGAGGUCCGCGCCCUCCCGUCGACAGCGUCCUUCCAAAGGUCCGCCUGGGAUGUCCCUGACCCGGGCUAGAGGAGUAUACACAGAUAUGAUACCUUCCACUGAGCUUCGGGCAGUUUUGCAAAAUUUGUCAGUGAGCCCCUUCCGGUUCCUGCUCCUACUUAAAGUACAUGGGAUUGAACCUAGGGGCACUCUACGACUGAGCUACAUCCCCAGCCCUUUUUGUUCUGUAAGAUGAAGAUGUGGUCUCACUAAAUUGCCCAGGAUACCUUCAUACUUCAGAUCCUCCUUCAGAUCCUCCUGCCUCAGGCUCCCAAAUCACUGGGAUUAUAGGAGUGUACCCCUCCAUCCAAAGAAUGACCAAAUCUUUGUGUGUGUGUGUGUGUGUGUGUGUGUGUGUUGCUGGGGAUUGAACCCAUGGCCUUGUGCAUACAAGGCAAGCACUCUACCAACUGUGCUAUAUCCCUAGCCCCCAAAUCUAGAUGAAAUAAAUCUUCUAUCAAUGUCUUUA